This 691-nucleotide ribosomal RNA is filed under the name Burkholderia sp. CIR13. RNAcentral describes it as "bacterial SSU rRNA". It matches the Rfam family "Bacterial small subunit ribosomal RNA", at positions 67 to 754 of the family's 1533-position model. The record is from RNAcentral. Lineage: Bacteria; Pseudomonadati; Pseudomonadota; Betaproteobacteria; Burkholderiales; Burkholderiaceae.
CAGCACGGGUGCUUGCACCUGGUGGCGAGUGGCGAACGGGUGAGUAAUACAUCGGAACAUGUCCUGUAGUGGGGGAUAGCCCGGCGAAAGCCGGAUUAAUACCGCAUACGAUCCAUGGAUGAAAGCGGGGGACCUUCGGGCCUCGCGCUAUAGGGUUGGCCGAUGGCUGAUUAGCUAGUUGGUGGGGUAAAGGCCUACCAAGGCGACGAUCAGUAGCUGGUCUGAGAGGACGACCAGCCACACUGGGACUGAGACACGGCCCAGACUCCUACGGGAGGCAGCAGUGGGGAAUUUUGGACAAUGGGCGAAAGCCUGAUCCAGCAAUGCCGCGUGUGUGAAGAAGGCCUUCGGGUUGUAAAGCACUUUUGUCCGGAAAGAAAUCCUUGGCCCUAAUACGGUCGGGGGAUGACGGUACCGGAAGAAUAAGCACCGGCUAACUACGUGCCAGCAGCCGCGGUAAUACGUAGGGUGCGAGCGUUAAUCGGAAUUACUGGGCGUAAAGCGUGCGCAGGCGGUUUGCUAAGACCGAUGUGAAAUCCCCGGGCUCAACCUGGGAACUGCAUUGGUGACUGGCAGGCUAGAGUAUGGCAGAGGGGGGUAGAAUUCCACGUGUAGCAGUGAAAUGCGUAGAGAUGUGGAGGAAUACCGAUGGCGAAGGCAGCCCCCUGGGCCAAUACUGACGCUCAUGCAC